RNAcentral lists this long non-coding RNA (590 nucleotides) under Pogona vitticeps (central bearded dragon). RNAcentral describes it as "lncRNA (ENSPVIG00000002944.1)". The record is from RNAcentral. Lineage: Eukaryota; Metazoa; Chordata; Lepidosauria; Squamata; Agamidae.
GGAACACUUUACAAAGUAACCAUCACUACAGCUUAUUUAGAGGUGGCAUAAGAGGACCUCAGUGGGGCCAUUGAAUUGCAAGUAGUCUGAUGACCUUCUCCUGAAAGAGGAGGAGGCCACCCCUUUUCUCCCAAGACUGGCCAGGAUUACAAUUAAAUGAGUAGCUGACAUGUGACAGAGCUCCAUCAUGAGAAGAAGAUCUGCCCGGAGAAUGAGUCUACAUCAAAUUGGUAUGAUCAAGGAAGAUAUCGCUUGCAGCAGUCUCUCACAAGUUUCAAAAUGACUCGCAAGGGUUUAAAAGCUGUAUGUGCAUUGGUAAUGAAGAAGAAAACAGCAGGAAGAGUAGAAAUCAGCACUACCAAGCUUUCCCUUAUAGCUCAUAAUGUCAAAUUUCCAAACAAAAAGAGGACUCACGUCACCUUGGAGAAGCCUUUGGGAGCCUCUGGACAGAGGGGAAGCUUUUAAUGAUCAAGCACACACAGUUCUAGUAAAGUGUAUUUUAUAAUGGACUCUUAGUUUCUGUGUGUUCCUCUUCACCAAAGGCCACCCCAGACAUCAGAAAUGUAUGGAUCUGUGAGGUGAGAUGUGUU